RNAcentral lists this ribosomal RNA (676 nucleotides) under uncultured bacterium. RNAcentral's name for it is "bacterial SSU rRNA". It matches the Rfam family "Archaeal small subunit ribosomal RNA", at positions 647 to 1324 of the family's 1478-position model. The record is from RNAcentral.
CCCGGAAGGACGACCAGUGGCGAAAGCGUUUAACUAGAACGAAUCUGACGGUAAGGAACGAAGGCUAGGGUAGCAAACCGGAUUAGAUACCCGGGUAGUCCUAGCUGUAAACAUUGCCCAUUUGAUGUUGCUUUUCCGUUGAGGGAAGGCAGUGUCGGAGCGAAGGUGUUAAAUGGGCCGCUUGGGAAGUAUGGUCGCAAGACUGAAACUUAAAGGAAUUGGCGGGGGAGCACCGCAACGGGAGGAAUGUGCGGUUUAAUUGGAUUCAACGCCGGAAAACUCACCGGGAACGACCUGUGCAUGAGAGUCAACCUGACGAGCUUACUCGAUAGCAGGAGAGGUGGUGCAUGGCCGUCGUCAGCUCGUACCGUAGGGCGUUCACUUAAGUGUGAUAACGAGCGAGACCCACAUCUUUAAUUGCGAAUGUAUAUGAGAAUAUGCAUGCACUUUAGAGAAACCGCCAGCGCUAAGCUGGAGGAAGGAGUGGUCGACGGCAGGUCAGUACGCCCCGAAUUUCCCGGGCUACACGCGCAUUACAAAGAACGGGACAAUACGUUGCAACCUCGAAAGAGGAAGCUAAUCGCGAAACCCGUCCAUAGUUAGGAUUGAGGGCUGUAACUCGCCCUCAUGAAUCUGGAUUCCGUAGUAAUCGCGGGUCAACAACCCGCGGUGACAU